CUUGAGCGAGCCCAGCCGGAGCGGGCGGUCGGCGGGCCGGUUCUGCCCGUAGGUGUUCAGCAGCGCCUGUGCCUC
RNAcentral lists this antisense RNA (75 nucleotides) under Streptomyces sp. Tu 6176. Its description in RNAcentral is "Aspks sRNA". It matches the Rfam family "ASpks TB sRNA". The record is from RNAcentral. Lineage: Bacteria; Bacillati; Actinomycetota; Actinomycetes; Kitasatosporales; Streptomycetaceae.